This 402-nucleotide ribosomal RNA is filed under the name bacterium. RNAcentral's name for it is "partial 16S ribosomal RNA". It matches the Rfam family "Bacterial small subunit ribosomal RNA", at positions 355 to 776 of the family's 1533-position model. The record is from RNAcentral.
UGGGGAAUUUUGCACAAUGGGGGAAACCCUGAUGCAGCGACGCCGCGUGAUUUAGAAGGCCUUCGGGUUGUAAAAAUCUUUUCUAUGGGAAGAAAAUGACAGUACCAUAGGAAUAAGGACCGGCUAAUUACGUGCCAGCAGCCGCGGUAAUACGUAAGGUCCGAGCGUUGUCCGGAAUCAUUGGGCGUAAAGGGUACGUAGGCGGGUAAGCAAGUUAGAAGUGAAAUCCUAUAGCUCAACUAUAGUAAGCUUUUAAAACUGCUCAUCUUGAGGUAUGGAAGGGAAAGUGGAAUUCCUAGUGUAGCGGUGAAAUGCGCAGAUAUUAGGAGGAAUACCCGUGGCGAAGGCGACUUUCUGGCCAUAACCUGACGCUGAGGUACGAAAGCGUGGGUAGCAAACAGG